AGUGAACGCUGGCGGUAGGCCUAACACAUGCAAGUCGAACGGCAGCACAGAGGAGCUUGCUCCUUGGGUGGCGAGUGGCGGACGGGUGAGGAAUACAUCGGAAUCUACUCUGUCGUGGGGGAUAACGUAGGGUAACUUACGCUAAUGCCGCAUACGAACUACGGGUGAAAGCAGGGGAUCUUCGGACCUUGCGCGAUUGAAUGAGCCGAUGUCGGAUUAGCUAGUUGGCGGGGUAAAGGCCCACCAAGGCGACGAUCCGUAGCUGGUCUGAGAGGAUGAUCAGCCACACUGGAACUGAGACACGGUCCAGACUCCUACGGGAGGCAGCAGUGGGGAAUAUUGGACAAUGGGCGCAAGCCUGAUCCAGCCAUACCGCGUGGGUGAAGAAGGCCUUCGGGUUGUAAAGCCCUUUUGUUGGGAAAGAAAUCCAUCUGGUUAAUACCCGGGUGGGAUGACGGUACCCAAAGAAUAAGCACCGGCUAACUUCGUGCCAGCCGCCGCGGUAA
RNAcentral lists this ribosomal RNA (506 nucleotides) under uncultured bacterium. Its description in RNAcentral is "partial 16S ribosomal RNA". It matches the Rfam family "Bacterial small subunit ribosomal RNA", at positions 29 to 523 of the family's 1533-position model. The record is from RNAcentral.